This 508-nucleotide ribosomal RNA is filed under the name uncultured bacterium. Its description in RNAcentral is "bacterial SSU rRNA". It matches the Rfam family "Bacterial small subunit ribosomal RNA", at positions 11 to 538 of the family's 1533-position model. The record is from RNAcentral.
GUUUGAUCCUGGCUCAGGACGAACGCUGGCGGCGUGCCUAAUACAUGCAAGUCGAACGAGGCCGACCUUUGGGUCACAUGGUCGAGUGGCGAACGGGUGAGUAACACGUGAGAAACCUGCCCCAAAGAUCGGGAUAACCCAGGGAAACCCGGGCUAAUACCGGAUACCCCCAUCGGAUCGCAUGGUCUGAUGAGGAAAUGCUUUUGUGCUUUGGGAGGGUCUCGCGGCCUAUCAGCUAGUUGGUGAGGUAAUGGCUCACCAAGGCAUCGACGGGUAGCUGGUCUGAGAGGACGAUCAGCCACACUGGGACUGAGACACGGCCCAGACUCCUACGGGAGGCAGCAGUAGGGAAUCUUGCGCAAUGGGCGAAAGCCUGACGCAGCAACGCCGCGUGGGGGAUGAAGGCUCUCGGGUUGUAAACCCCUUUCAGCAGGGAAGAAAAUGACGGUACCUGCAGAAGAAGCCCCGGCCAACUACGUGCCAGCAGCCGCGGUAAUAAGGGCGAAUU